This 71-nucleotide transfer RNA is filed under the name Ovis aries (sheep). Lineage: Eukaryota; Metazoa; Chordata; Mammalia; Artiodactyla; Bovidae. The record is from Rfam by way of RNAcentral.
CCUUGGUGGUUUGGAUGAUAAAGAAUCUGCCUGCAACGCAGGACACCCAGGUUUGAUUCCUGGAUCGGGAA